GGGCCGCCGGCGGGGGGCCUCGUCCCCGCUGCCGCCGCCGCCAUCGUCGGAGGAGGAGGAGGAGGAGGAGGGCGGCGGCGGGGAGCGGCGGCGGCGGCGCCCGGGCUCGCGCUCCAGGGGGGCCAUGAGGGGCGCCCCCGGGUGGCGCCGGGUGCUGCGGGGGGCCGGGGGGGGCGAGGCGCUGCUGUCGGGGGACGCCCGCUUCGGGGGGCGCCCGCGCCGCCGUUUCCCGGGGCUGGCCGGGGCGGCGGACGCCGAACCGGCGCCGGUGCCGCCGCCGCCGCGCGCCGGCCGCCCCCGCCGCCGCUUGCCAGGGGGGGAGUGGCGGCGUCGGGGCCCCCCCCGCCGCUUUGGGGGGCGUCCGCGGCGGCGCUUGGGGGGCGCGGGGCUGCCGGCGGGGCUGGCGGCGGGCGCCGCGUCGGCGUCGUGGCGGCGGCGGCGGGGCCGUCCCGGCGCGGGCGCCUCGAGGACGGUGACCAGGCGGCCCGGCAGCUGCCGCAGCACUUUGGCGGCCGGCCCCGGCGCGCGGCUCUGCCGGAUCUCCACGUCCGCGCUGCGGCGCCGCCGGGGGCCCCGCGAGGGGAGGCGGGGGGGGGCCGGCGUCACGCUCGGCGCCUCCGACGGCACCGGGGAGGCCGCGGGAGGGGUCGGCGGCGCCGGGGGAGGCGAGGCCGCGCCGGAGGCCGCCGGUGCCGGUGCUGGCGGCGGCGGCGGCGAUGCCGCGCCGGACGGCGCCGCGUUCGCCGGGUUGGGUGCCGGGGAGGGCGGUAGAGUCACCGGGGUGGGGGCGGGUGCCGGCGGCGAUGUCACCGGCGUGGCGUGGGACGUCACUGGCGCCGCCGGUGGCGUCGCCGGCGUGGCGUCGGGCGGCGCCGGCGGUGGGGGCGGUUGCGGCGGUGCUGGGGCCGGGGGCGUCGGCGGCGUCGCCGGCGGCGCUUUGGUGGUCGCCGGGGCCGGUUGUGCCGCCACCGGUGUCGCUUGCGCCGUCACCGGGGCCGCUUGCGACGUCACCGGUGUCACUUGCGACGUCACCGGUGCCGGUGGGGACGUCACCGGCGCCGGCUGCGACGUCACCGGGGUGGCAGGGGGCAGCGGCAGGGCCGCGGGCGGCGGCGCCGCGGGGACUUGCGUCAUCAGCAGCACCGCCGGCGUCGGCGAUGACGUCACCGGCGCGGCGUGUGAUGGCGGCGGGGCGGCCGGCGGCGUGGCCGGCGCCGCUCUCGCCGUGGCCGGCGUCCCGGCAGGCGCCCGGGGGGACGUCCCGGCCCCCCGCGGCGACGUGGGCGGCGUCCUCGGCGACGUCGGCGUGGCGCGCGGUGACAGCGGCGCCCGCGGCGCCGCCGGGGCCGGUCGCGGCGCCGGCGGUGGCGGCGGCGUCGCCGUCGCGGCCGCCCGCAGGCGCUGGCUGGCGCGGGUGCCGGUGCGC
Molecule: long non-coding RNA, 1426 nt
Filed under: Anser brachyrhynchus (Pink-footed goose)
Lineage: Eukaryota; Metazoa; Chordata; Aves; Anseriformes; Anatidae
Description: lncRNA (ENSABRG00000004868.1)
Source: RNAcentral